GGAUUUCCAAGUGAGGCACCAAAAGAGGCCAGAAGAAAGUGUCAGAUCUGCAGGAGCUAGAAUUGCAGAUGGCUGUGAGCAGCCUGGCAUGUGUUUUAGGAACCAAACCAAGGUCUUCUGCAAGAGCAAAGUUGCUGGUGAUGAGGAAGAGUGCAUGAAGGACAGAAGGAAGCACUUCUGGCGACAGGAAGAACAAGACAAAGGGGCAUCUAUCUUCUCAUUACAAGGUGAAGGGGAAAGCAUGGCACAGGAGUCAACAGCAGGGCUGGAAUGGGGGAGCAGAACAGAAGUUCCCAAAAGGCUUUGAAAAGACAGAGCCCUGUCCAAACAGGGUCAUAACAACCAGGACUGCACUCUAACCUGAAUACAAAGAAAUACACAGAAUGCUUCCAAGCAAAGGAUCAUGUGACAUGUGACGACAUUCUAAGCCUCUGUUAUGUUUUCAAUGUGAAAUGUCCCCCUUAGGCUCAUGUGUUUGACAACUUGGCGGCGCUACUUGGGAAGGUUGGGUCUGUUUAGGAGGUGGGGUCUCACGGGAGGAAGUACAUUACAGGGGAUGGGAUUUGAGGUUUUAUAGACGAUAAGUCUAACUUGCUGUUUUCUUGAUGCUUCCUGAGUGUAGAUACACUGUGACAAGGCAGCUUCCUGGUUUUGGCCAUCAUGCUUUUCCUGCCAGGAUGGAUGCUAUCCUUCUGGAACUAUAAGCCAAAAUACUUUUUCUCCCUUAAGAUGUUUUUGUCAGAGCAUUUCCUUACUGAAACAAAGGAGAAAUUAAUAUACCCUUUAAAUGUGGUUUUUUUUUUCCUGUUGGAAAUGUAAACUACAAGUUCAAUGAAAGUGUACACAUUAAGCCAAGUGCAUACAACUCAAGUCCCAACUAUUUGAGAGACAAAGAUAAAAGGAUUCUAGAGGUUCAAAGCCAACCUCACCUUAUCUCUGUACAUAACAAGACCUUAUCUCAAAAGAAAGCCACAGACACCAUAGGGGAUGUAUUAAGAGAGCACACACAGCCAUCCCAUCCAUCCCACUACCCAUCAGUUCUGAAUGCCCAUCAACAAGGACCUGGCAGGUGCACACGUAAUGCAUCUGGGGAAAAGACUGAAGCAAUGAAGUCCAUAAUCUCUUUAGGAAAGAAAGACAGCCGUAGAACAAUAGGAUUUCCAUGUCCUGGGUGAAAAGUGACGGCAUUGUAUGAAGGCUGCUUUUAACAGGAAAAGGAAGGUUUGUUUCUGCACAAAGUGUCGCCGGAAGAAUGUAUAAGAAAGCGGUCCUCUUCUGGACGAGGACACAAAUGGGACCUGCCGUGGGAAGCUUACUUCACUCCCAUUUGAUCUUUUGCUGUAUUGCUUGAAUCCUAUGCUAUGUGUAUACCUGUUUUAAAAUAUUAGAAGCACAGAUUAAAACCAUACAUCGCAGCUUGUUCUAUGGACAUAUUUCUCUUUCCAUGCCCACCUGCCUGCUCAAAAAUGGCUCUACAUUCUGUCUGCUCUAUAAGCCUCCACCCUUAGAUCCAUAGUCAUUCCUAGACUGUGUGGCCCUGGGCACACUCAUUUUUUCUCAAUUAUUUUUUUGUCUGCUUUUCCUGCUCUAUAUUUGUUUUGAGACAGAGUCUCAUGUAGCCCAGACUGCCCUUGAAUUUUUUGUGUACUUAAGGAUGGCCUUGCACUUUUGAUCCUCUUGCCUGUAGCUCCCUGGUGCUGAGAUUACAAGCAUGCACCCCUGUGCCCAGUUUAUAUGAUGCUGGAUCGAUUCCAUGGCCCUAUGUUUGCUAGCACACUGUCAACUGACUGUACCCUCAGGCGCCCUCAACUACUUCUUCAUUAAUUGAAGCUAAUGCUUGGGGAAAUGUUCAGAGCCUCAUGGGAAAGCCUCUGCUUGAACUCUGUGCUGCUGAUAAACUUACUCCAUCGUGGCCAAUAACAAACCGUAUCUUUCUGGAGUUUGUUUACCGCUCUAGUGUCCUAAUCGCUUCCUCAGUCAUCCCAUGCUUUUCUUGUCCACAGACUACUGGGUCAAAACCCCUAAAGAACUAAUGUGUAAUUUUUACAAUUAAAACAAAAAAGAAACGACUAAGCUUUGGGAAGUAAAGAUGAGAACGAUGUCUAAGAACUCACGCUUGAAGGCAGGUGUGCCUUGGAGACUCUGAGUCCCAAGUACAAGAAGGACCUCUGUCUCAUAUGCCUUUGACUCCCAAAUGCUCGCUUUGCCCUAUAGUCUCAGCUCAGAAAAUAGAGUAGGAGGUAAAAUACAUUUUUGGAGAUGCAUUUUUCUAUGCUAUUGCUGUUUCAUCACAGAAGUUAAUCUGGAGCAGAAUCGGCCUUGCCAUCAACCUGCAGAAAUCUGGACCUCAAGUGUUUCACAAAAUAACAGUUUGCAUCCACUCUUAACCUGUAAUGUUGGUGCUGUCGUCUUCAACUUCAUGUUUUUAUUUGUUCUAUCUCCUCUAAACCCAAAAUAUGAAACAAAAAUUACGAUGUUCUUAUUUAACUGAGAAAGGAGAAUGCAAGCUGUUAAACCAAGGACCUUUCUUAAAAUGUCUUCCAACACUUUAUGCGAUCAGUCAUAAUAUUUAUAUGUACUCAAGCACUUUGAAAUCUCAAGCUGUUUGAACCAGCUGUCAUGUUUGUGUCAAACUGCGGUCAUUUGAAUGUGAAACAAGGGUCAAUGGCAAGGGUGGGGGCGGUAUGUCUUCUUCCCUUCCUAUUAGUGAAAUCAUUUACAGCUAUGGAACUCUGCUUCAGUGCUCCAGCAAUGAGUCCCUGCUGCAGAUUCCUGUUAUCUAGGUCACAUGGAAUUUCAUAAUUGUUCGCAAGCAAACUAUGUAGAAGAAAAGUGUUAAAUUAAUAUGAAAAUAACUAUCAACAACCAAAUAUACACACUGACCAGUCCUGUAUAUGUAUUUUUGGUAUUAACCAAGACACAUUUAUAUCUGAGACUGAUUUCUAGUAUGAAUGUAAUGUCAAUUGAUUUCUGUCUUUUUGAAUAUGUCUAAAAGAAAAUGCAUGGUGACUUUUUAUUGCCUAUUUCAGGAUUUGUAAAAAAAA
This is a non-coding RNA of Peromyscus maniculatus bairdii (prairie deer mouse), 3044 nucleotides long. The record is from RefSeq and is a predicted model, not a curated record. Lineage: Eukaryota; Metazoa; Chordata; Mammalia; Rodentia; Cricetidae.